GACGAACGCUGGCGGCGUGCCUAAUACAUGCAAGUCGAGCGGUUCCUUCGGGGACAGCGGCGGACGGGUGAGUAACACGUAGGCAACCUGCCUGCAAGAUCGGGAUAACCAUCGGAAACGAUGGCUAAGACCGAAUAACUGAUUGUCCCGCAUGGGAGAAUCAUGAAACACGGGGCAACCUGUGGCUUGCAGAUGGGCCUGCGGCGCAUUAGCUAGUAGGCGGGGUAACGGCCCACCUAGGCGACGAUGCGUAGCCGACCUGAGAGGGUGAACGGCCACACUGGGACUGAGACACGGCCCAGACUCCUACGGGAGGCUG
Molecule: ribosomal RNA, 319 nt
Filed under: uncultured Bacillota bacterium
Lineage: Bacteria; Bacillati; Bacillota
Description: bacterial SSU rRNA
Rfam family: Bacterial small subunit ribosomal RNA
Source: RNAcentral